AGCUAGCUCAGUCAGUAGAGCAUGAGACUCUUAAUCUCAGAGUCCUGGGUUCGUGACCCACGAAGCUA
This 68-nucleotide transfer RNA is filed under the name Cricetulus griseus (Chinese hamster). It matches the Rfam family "tRNA". From Rfam's summary of the family: Transfer RNA (tRNA) molecules are approximately 80 nucleotides in length. Their secondary structure includes four short double-helical elements and three loops (D, anti-codon, and T loops). Further hydrogen bonds mediate the characteristic L-shaped molecular structure. tRNAs have two regions of fundamental functional importance: the anti-codon, which is responsible for specific mRNA codon recognition, and the 3' end, to which the tRNAs corresponding amino acid is attached (by aminoacyl-tRNA synthetases). tRNAs cope with the degeneracy of the genetic code in two manners: having more than one tRNA (with a specific anti-codon) for a particular amino acid; and 'wobble' base-pairing, i.e. permitting non-standard base-pairing at the 3rd anti-codon position. Lineage: Eukaryota; Metazoa; Chordata; Mammalia; Rodentia; Cricetidae. The record is from Rfam by way of RNAcentral.